RNAcentral lists this ribosomal RNA (460 nucleotides) under uncultured bacterium. RNAcentral's name for it is "partial 16S ribosomal RNA". It matches the Rfam family "Bacterial small subunit ribosomal RNA", at positions 338 to 795 of the family's 1533-position model. The record is from RNAcentral.
CCUACGGGUGGCAGCAGUGAGGAAUAUUGGUCAAUGGACGAGAGUCUGAACCAGCCAAGUAGCGUGAAGGAUGACUGCCCUAUGGGUUGUAAACUUCUUUUAUAUGGGAAUAAAAUGCUCCACGUGUGGGAUUUUGUAUGUACCAUAUGAAUAAGGAUCGGCUAACUCCGUGCCAGCAGCCGCGGUAAUACGGAGGAUCCGAGCGUUAUCCGGAUUUAUUGGGUUUAAAGGGAGCGUAGAUGGAUUGUUAAGUCAGUUGUGAAAGUUUGCGGCUCAACCGUAAAAUUGCAGUUGAAACUGGCAGUCUUGAGUACAGUAGAGGUGGGCGGAAUUCGUGGUGUAGCGGUGAAAUGCUUAGAUAUCACGAAGAACUCCGAUUGCGAAGGCAGUUCACUGGACUGCAACUGACACUGAGGCUCGAAAGUGUGGGUAUCAAACAGGAUUAGAUACCCGAGUAGUC